This 329-nucleotide ribosomal RNA is filed under the name uncultured Lachnospiraceae bacterium. RNAcentral describes it as "bacterial SSU rRNA". It matches the Rfam family "Bacterial small subunit ribosomal RNA", at positions 28 to 339 of the family's 1533-position model. The record is from RNAcentral. Lineage: Bacteria; Bacillati; Bacillota; Clostridia; Lachnospirales; Lachnospiraceae.
GAUGAACGCUGGCGGCGUGCUUAACACAUGCAAGUCGAACGAAGCACUGGGAAUGAAGUUUUCGGACGGAUUUUCCUUUGACUUAGUGGCGGACGGGUGAGUAACGCGUGGGUAACCUGCCUCACACUGGGGGACAACAGUUGGAAACGACUGCUAAUACCGCAUAAGCGCACGAAGCCGCAUGGCUAUGUGUGAAAAACUCCGGUGGUGUGAGAUGGACCCGCGUUGGAUUAGGCAGUUGGCGGGGUAACGGCCCACCAAGGCGACGAUCGGUAGGGGUUCUGAGAGGAAGGUCCCCCACAUUGGAACUGAGACACGGUCCAAACUCC